AGAUCGGAGUCGUCAAAGUCGGCGCCGUCGAAGGUGUUGAAGAAGGCGGCGAAGGGGAGGGGGCCCCGGGCCUCGUUCCCGCGGCCGCCCAUGCGGUGGGAGUGGAGGAGGUCCCCUUCGUCGUCGUCGUCGAGGAAGCCGGCGCUGCGCGGGGAGUCGUCGAUGUCCAUGAGCGUGGUGAUGGCGUCGUCCUCCAUGGCGGCGGCGGAGCGCGGGGAGAGCGGGGCGGCGGCGGGGAAGUAGCGGAUAGGGUUU
RNAcentral lists this long non-coding RNA (255 nucleotides) under Hordeum vulgare. RNAcentral's name for it is "long non-coding RNA (HVUL_LNC016171)". The record is from RNAcentral. Lineage: Eukaryota; Viridiplantae; Streptophyta; Magnoliopsida; Poales; Poaceae.